UACGUAGGGUGCGAGCGUUAAUCGGAAUUACUGGGCGUAAAGCGUGCGCAGGCGGUUAUUUAAGUCAGGUGUGAAAGCCCUGGGCUUAAACCUAGGAAUUGCGCUUGAGACUGGAUAGCUUGGAGUGCGGCAGAGGGAGGUGGAAUUCCACGUGUAGCAGUGAAAUGCGUAGAGAUGUGGAGGAACACCGAUGGCGGAAGGCAGGUCUCUGGGCCGAUACUGACGCUGAGGAGCGAAAGCGUGGGGAGCGAACAGG
This 256-nucleotide ribosomal RNA is filed under the name uncultured bacterium. RNAcentral describes it as "partial 16S ribosomal RNA". It matches the Rfam family "Bacterial small subunit ribosomal RNA", at positions 524 to 776 of the family's 1533-position model. The record is from RNAcentral.